RNAcentral lists this ribosomal RNA (468 nucleotides) under uncultured bacterium. Its description in RNAcentral is "partial 16S ribosomal RNA". It matches the Rfam family "Bacterial small subunit ribosomal RNA", at positions 28 to 507 of the family's 1533-position model. The record is from RNAcentral.
GACGAACGCUGGCGGCGUGCUUAACACAUGCAAGUCGAACGGAAAGGCCCUGCUUUUGUGGGGUGCUCGAGUGGCGAACGGGUGAGUAACACGUGAGUAACCUGCCCUUGACUUUGGGAUAACUUCAGGAAACGGGGGCUAAUACCGGUUAGGAGCUCCUGCUGCAUGGUGGGGGUGGGAAAGUUUCGGCGGUUGGGGAUGGACUCGCGGCUUAUCAGCUUGUUGGUGGGGUAGUGGCUUACCAAGGCUUUGACGGGUAGCCGGCCUGAGAGGGUGACCGGCCACAUUGGGACUGAGAUACGGCCCAGACUCCUACGGGAGGCAGCAGUGGGGAAUAUUGCACAAUGGGCGGAAGCCUGAUGCAGCAACGCCGCGUGCGGGAUGACGGCCUUCGGGUUGUAAACCGCUUUCGCCUGUGACGAAGCGUGAGUGACGGUAAUGGGUAAAGAAGCACCGGCUAACUACGUG